This 649-nucleotide long non-coding RNA is filed under the name Equus asinus (donkey). RNAcentral describes it as "lncRNA (ENSEASG00005031402.1)". The record is from RNAcentral. Lineage: Eukaryota; Metazoa; Chordata; Mammalia; Perissodactyla; Equidae.
AAGAUUCUACUUUUCUAACAAGCUUUUCGCUGAUUUGAUGCUGUUGAUUCAUGGACCGUCCUUUGAAGAGCAGAGCAGACGGUGGGCCAGUUAGUGCUGGAUCCAGUUAUGAUCUCCUCUACUUGUUGUAAAGUAUUUAAUACAGCACCUGGCAUAGGGUCAGCCCGUCACUAUUACUGCUUUAUUAUCUGUGUAGGAUAAACCGGAAAACUUAUCCUUGAUGCACUGUUUAAUAUUAUCAAAACUGGGACGAAGUUGAUCCUCAUCUUCAAGGACGUGAUUCUAGAUGAGCAGCAGAUGUGGUUACGUCCUAAACCUACUGGAUGGAUCUGGUGUCAAGUCUCCUCUGGACAGCCGGUGACGCUGAUGGGCCCCCACCGCCACAAAGAACAUCAAUCAGGGAGGACUUCAGGGGGGAGUAAUCACAUAUCUUGAAAAGAGAAUAAUAGCCAGAAGCCCCUGAAGUUCUCACCAUGAAGCACCAUGGCUCCAACACUCAGAACCCCGCUCAGGACAAAGGACUCUGAGCAGAUACCAAACGGUGGAACCUGGGGUGGUCUUAUCUGCAGGGCUUUCUGCUUUUUAUUGACCGUUGGCAGACUAGGAGGAAGACAGGAGACAACAGGGAUUCUGUACCUAAGGCGGCAAC